AUAUGUGAAUUUAUAGUUAAAAGUGCAAGAAGGUCUAACAUCUAGCCGAAAUCCUUCAUUUCAAAAUGAAGGACUAAAUGUGACCAAAGAGCCCUUAAUAGGUAAACAAUGUAAACGACCCUUAGAGGUUGCCUAGAAACUUAUAUUAUGAGUUUGAAACCCUUAGAUGUGUAUAAAAGUUCUAGGCAAAAACAAUUGCGGGUCGAACGCCUAGAAAUAGUUAAUUGCGGAAAAAUGACCAACCGAUAGGUAAAAUUGGGAAAAAGGGGUUCAUAUGUUAAAUCCACCACAAAAAAGUUGUGGUGGAAUAUUUCUAGUUAAUUAGACAUGGAAAAUAUUGUAGUAUCAAAAGAAAAGCACAAGUUCUAGACCAAAAUGCGUAAAUACCCUUAACGGGUCGAAAUAGAAGUAUUAGCGAAACGAGUUAAGAAUGUGUAAUAACCCGUGAUUUGAACCUUGUACAAUAGGAAAUAAUCAUAAUAUUAUGUUUACGAAAGAAACAAGGGCCACAAUCAAGUUUGUUAGAUGAAUUCAUGAACGGGUCAAAAUUUGGGUAAAAAUGGUAAUAAGCCGAAGACUUAAAAGUCUUAAAUUUUUGUUAAUCCGGAUGUCGGAUUUUAACUCCAUAUGAUGGAGAAUUAAAUUAAGGACGCGUAGGAAAAAGAAUCGUAUAAAACGGAUUAAAAACGAGAGAGUUAUGUCCGUUUCGGUAAGAACUAAUGAAAAAUAGACGUGCAGAGUUGACACGGGCGGGUGACUUUUUGACACGGCCGGGUGGCUGGGCUGUGAAAAAUAUAUGUUAGCUGACACGGCCGGGUGACUUUUUGACACGGCCGGGUGAAGGGGCUGAAAACAAAACAAAAAUAAUUUCUUGUUUUGUUACGUUAAGUACGGAACUUGUUUAUACUCGAUUAUUAAAGUGUCAAAACUAAUUAUUUACAUGGUUUUGACCGUAGGUGAAGAUGGGAUAAGCGGUUUGAAAGAUACGAAAGUUUUCGUGCAAAUAAACGGCAAAAUAGGAAAGCUGGAAUGCAGGGGCCACCGUAACUUACGGUGCCACCGUAAGUUACGGUGGAGCUGAAGGCUUUACGGCAGCCCCCUACUGAUUUACGGUUCUUUUUGGAUGCCGGAAGACGAUCAAGCUCGUCGAAGGACCGAACACGAUAAAGAUACAUGCUUCCGCACAUUUCCUCGUCGUAAAUUUUUAAACGACAAACUCGAUCACUUAUGUUGAAUAACUUAUGAUUUGUAAAAGUUUUAAUAAACUCGUAUUUUCAUAGUAUGUGUAAACUUAAUUACACAUCUAA
Helianthus annuus (common sunflower) is the source of this 1307-nucleotide long non-coding RNA. RefSeq lists it as uncharacterized. The record is from RefSeq and is a predicted model, not a curated record. NCBI's taxonomy places the organism in Eukaryota, Viridiplantae, Streptophyta, Magnoliopsida, Asterales, Asteraceae. The transcript is spliced from 2 exons.